This 499-nucleotide ribosomal RNA is filed under the name uncultured bacterium. RNAcentral describes it as "partial 16S ribosomal RNA". It matches the Rfam family "Bacterial small subunit ribosomal RNA", at positions 28 to 507 of the family's 1533-position model. The record is from RNAcentral.
GACGAACGCUGGCGGCGUGCCUAAUACAUGCAAGUCGAGCGAAGUUUUUCUGGUGCUUGCACUAGAAAAACUUAGCGGCGAACGGGUGAGUAACACGUAAAGAACCUGCCUCAUAGACUGGGACAACUAUUGGAAACGAUAGCUAAUACCGGAUAACAGUAUUUCUCGCAUGAGAGAUAUUUAAAAGUUGGUUAUGCUAACACUAUGAGAUGGCUUUGCGGUGCAUUAGCUAGUUGGUGGGGUAAAGGCCCACCAAGGCGACGAUGCAUAGCCGACCUGAGAGGGUGAUCGGCCACACUGGGACUGAGACACGGCCCAGACUCCUACGGGAGGCAGCAGUAGGGAAUCUUCUGCAAUGGGCGAAAGCCUGACGGAGCAACGCCGCGUGAGUGAAGAAGGAUUUCGGUUCGUAAAGCUCUGUUGUUAGGGAAGAAUGGAUAUGUAGUAACUAUACAUGUAAGAGACGGUACCUAACCAGAAAGCCACGGCUAACUACGUG